AUAUUUAUAUAGUACAUAAAUACUUAAACUAAAAGUUCUUUAUGCUAUUGAAUUAAUAAUAAAAAGGUAGAAGAUAGAUUUUAUAAUUUUAGUUAUAAAAAUAGACUUUUAAAAAAUUUCUGGCUAAACCUGUGCCAGCCGCCGCGGUUAUACAGGUAGGAAAGUAUUUUAAUUAAAAUAAAAAUUUUGUUAAUGUUAAAAAUUUUUAAUUAGGUGAAAUUAUUAAUUUAUUUAGAUUUGUAGUAUUUUUGAAAUUUAUAUGCAAAAAUAGGAUUAGAUACCCUAUUAUUAUAAAAUGUUAUUUUAGUAUUAAUUUAAGAUUUAUUAAAUUUAAAGAUUUUGGCGGUAUUCUAAGCUUUUUAGAGGAAUUUAUUUUUUAAUUGAUAUGGCACAAAAAUCUUUCUUAAUUUUGUUAGGUCAGUUUGUAUAUCGCUAUCAUUUUAUAAUGUUGUUUAACAAUUGUAAAAAAAAAUUUUUUUUAGGAUGUUAGGUCAAAAUGCAACAAAAAAUUAAGUUUUAAAUAAAUUACGUUAAUUUAUAUUAGAAAAUUUAUGAAAAAGGUUAUUAGGAUUUAACAGUAAAUUUUAAUUAUAAUGUUUGAUUGAAAUAAGCUCUGGAAUAUGCACAUAUCGCCCGUCGCUUUCAUUUAUGAGAUAAGUCGUAACAAAGUAAAAGUAUCGGAAGAUGUUUU
This 691-nucleotide ribosomal RNA is filed under the name Alectorobius fonsecai. Its description in RNAcentral is "Ornithodoros fonsecai 12S ribosomal RNA". The record is from RNAcentral. Lineage: Eukaryota; Metazoa; Arthropoda; Arachnida; Ixodida; Argasidae.